GCCAGUGUGGUGCAGUGGUUUGAGUGUAGGACUAUGACUCUGGAGACCAGGGUUUGAUUCCCAGCUUGGCCA
RNAcentral lists this transfer RNA (72 nucleotides) under Phrynosoma platyrhinos (Desert horned lizard). RNAcentral describes it as "tRNA-OTHER". Lineage: Eukaryota; Metazoa; Chordata; Lepidosauria; Squamata; Phrynosomatidae. The record is from RNAcentral.